Molecule: ribosomal RNA, 728 nt
Filed under: alpha proteobacterium SCGC AAA076-P11
Lineage: Bacteria; Pseudomonadati; Pseudomonadota; Alphaproteobacteria
Description: bacterial SSU rRNA
Rfam family: Bacterial small subunit ribosomal RNA
Source: RNAcentral
CUUAGUGGCGCACGGGUGAGUAACACGUGGGAACAUACCUCAUAGUACGGAAUAACUGCGGGAAACUGUAGCUAAUACCGUAUAUUCCAGUAAUGGGAAAGAUUUAUCGCUAUGAGAUUGGCCCGCGCAAGAUUAGUUUGUUGGUAAGGUAAUGGCUUACCAAGGCUACGAUCUUUAGCUGGUUUGAGAGGAUGAUCAGCCACACUGGGACUGAGACACGGCCCAGACUCCUACGGGAGGCAGCAGUAGGGAAUAUUGGACAAUGGGGGCAACCCUGAUCCAGCAAUGCAGCGUGAGUGACGAAGGCCUUAGGGUUGUAAAACUCUUUCAUCGGUGAGGAUAAUGACAGUAGCCGAAGAAGAAGGACCGGCUAAUUCCGUGCCAGCAGCCGCGGUAAUACGGAAGGUCCUAGCGUUGUUCGGAAUUACUGGGCGUAAAGCGCAUGUAGGCGGAACAGAAAGUUAGAAGUGAAAUCCCUGGGCUCAACCUAGGAAUUGCUUUUAAAACUUCUGUUCUGGAAUUCAGGAGAGGAAAAUGGAAUAUCCAGUGUAGAGGUGAAAUUCGUAGAUAUUGGAUGGAACACCAGUGGCGAAGGCGAUUUUCUGGACUGAUAUUGACGCUGAGAUGCGAAGGCAUGGGUAGCAAACGGGAUUAGAUACCCCGGUAGUCCAUGCAGUAAACGAUGGGUGCUAGUCGUCGGACUUAUGUUCGGUGUCGUAGCUAACGCG